GUCUCUCCGGAAAUUUACAUGGAGAGUCGGCCCUGCCCGGUGAUAAUUUAAGUAAACGGUCGCAAUGAAGAGUUGUGCUAAGGUAGCGCAAUAAAUUGUCCUUUAAUUGGGGAAAUGAAUGAAAGGGUUGACGAGGGGGAAGCUAUCUUUUUGGUAUAGUUUGAAGUUUUCUUUUAUGUGAAAAGACUUAGAUUUUAUAAUUAGAAGAGAAGACCCCGGCGAGCUUGUUAAGGGUUACUAAGUUGAGGUAAUUAUUGAUUUUUGUUGGGGCAACGCAAAGGGAAAAGAACUCCUUUGAGUUUUAUAGGGAUCCACUUAGAGUGAACAAAGCAAAAGCUACCGCGGGGAUAACAGCGCAAUUUCUUCAGAGCUCAUAUCCAAGAGGAAGGUUGCGACCUCGAUGUUGGAUUAAGAUUUCCUUUUGGUGCAGGAGUAAAAAGGUAGGACUUUC
RNAcentral lists this ribosomal RNA (451 nucleotides) under Mactra chinensis. RNAcentral describes it as "partial 16S ribosomal RNA". It matches the Rfam family "Bacterial large subunit ribosomal RNA", at positions 1817 to 2581 of the family's 2925-position model. The record is from RNAcentral. Lineage: Eukaryota; Metazoa; Mollusca; Bivalvia; Venerida; Mactridae.